Molecule: ribosomal RNA, 253 nt
Filed under: uncultured bacterium
Lineage: Bacteria
Description: partial 16S ribosomal RNA
Rfam family: Bacterial small subunit ribosomal RNA
Source: RNAcentral
UACGGAGGGGGCGAGCGUUGUUCGGAAUUACUGGGCGUAAAGCGCGCGUAGGCGGACCUGCAAGUCGGGGGUGAAAGCACGAGGCUUAACCUCGGAACUGCCUUCGAUACUGCGGGUCUCGAGUCCGGGAGAGGUGAGUGGAAUUCCUAGUGUAGAGGUGAAAUUCGUAGAUAUUAGGAAGAACACCAGUGGCGAAGGCGGCUCUAUGGCCCGGGACUGACGCUGAGGCGCGAAAGCGUGGGGAGCAAACAGG